AUAUGCACAAAGAUUUAUUCAUACAAAUGUUCAGUACAUCAAUUACAAAAGCAAAAACUUUAAUAACUGAAUCCUAUAUAUGAAUUAUGGUCUUAUGCAGCCAAAAGAACAUUUUGUAGAAGACGUUACUGAAAUUUUUAAAAUGUUUACAAUACGUUUGACAAAGGGCAGUUACAAAAAUUAUGGCCACCAUAAUUUUAUUUUUUUAAAACACACACCCACACAAAGUUGUUUUAAAAAUGUAUCUAAAAGGCAACAAUUAUUAUCUCACAGUAGUUGGAUCAUGAGUGCCUUCUUAUUUUCUUAGUUGGGAUUAUCCAUAUUUUCCAGAUUGCUUACAAGAAACCUAAAUUAUUUUUGGAAGCAGAAAAAGCCAAUGCUAUUUUUAAUAUGCUCAUCAUAGAGAAUUUGGAAAAUACGAAAUAUUAUAUAGAAGAAAAUAAAAAUAAUCACAAUUCUACCACUUAGAACUAACCAUUAUUAACAAUUUGUUGUAUUUCUUUCAGUCUUUUAUAUGAAUUUGUGCAAAAUCUUUGCCACUACCCCCUCCUACUCAACUGAGGAUCAUGCCGUAUGUAAUGUUUUCUAUUCUGCUUUUGUUUUUAUUUAACAUUAUAUCAUGAACAACUCCCUAAGUCUUGAGCACUUUUUUUUUUUAAGUCUUGAGCACUCUUUAAAACAAAAUUAAGAAUCAAACAAGCUAGUGAGGAAGAUGUGCAGGAAUUGAUUUACAAAGAUUCUUUAUGAAGUGGACAAAAAAGUAAGCUGCAAAGCAGUAUUAUGAGAUGGUCAAAUAAAAUAGUCACCAAGCCUUUAUUUUUGGUCAUAAGAGGAGGAAUUGUGUGGAAAUGCUUGGUGAUUGAAAAUUUUUAAAUAACAUGUAUAUCAUUAUUGUCUCUGUAAUCAGAAAAGUAAUAUAGCUUUUAAAAUAAAUAUAAACCCCAUUUUAAAGGGCCGUAGAAUAGUCUACCACACCAUAAACCUCUCCUAUUGUGGGACAUUUAGAUUUGUUUCAACUCUUUCUGUUACUAUAAAUAAUGAUAAUGCUAGAAUGAAUGUCUUUGUUUUCAAGUCUUUUUCUGAGCUCAUUACAUUCUAUGAUAAAUUUGAAGGAGGAUUGCUAGAUCAGUUUGUGUGGACUAAUCUUAAAAGAUUUUGCUUGAAAUGUAUGCUUGCAUAUGAAUGUUUGCUUAUAUAUUAAAAGCAAUAGAUUUAACUUUCUAUUUCUUAAUAGAAAUCAGUAGGACCCCUUAGUUUAUGGCUUUUAAUCUACUCAAGAGAAUUUCUCUUGGGAAAAAAAUGCAUUCUCUUUGAGAAUAUAUUCCAGAAUCUUAUUCAAAAACAAUUUUCCAAGCCCAGUAGAAACUUUGAAACCUGCCCUAAUACUCCACAAUAGAGAACUGGAGGCAGUAGGUCAAUGUUCCUGAUUCACUAGGCUAAUGAGACUCAGGCCAAUUCACUGGUGAUAUUCUAAUUCAGAAUUGAGAAGAGAGACUGUGGAUAAUAAAAAUAAAUAAAAAUUGAAAAGUCAUCAAUCCUUGGUUUUAUCCCCUCUCCCAUUAAAAAACAAACAAAAUGUUGCUCUUUUUAAAAAAGUGAGUUUUACUGAAAUAUAAUUAAUAUACUAUAUGUUAUUCCUUCAAAAUAUAUGAUUUGGGAGUUCCUUAGAGGCUCAGCAGGUUGAGGAUCUGGUUUGUCACUGCUGUGGCUCAGGUUCCACCCCUGGCCCAGGAACUUCUGCAUGAAGACAAAAAAAAAAAAANAAAAAAAAAGAGAGAGAGAGAGAGGAUGGAGGGAAAUAUUCCAUGCAAAUGGGAGUCAAAAGAAAGCUGGAGUAGCAAUACUCAUAUCAGACAAAAUAGACCUUAAAAUAAAGAAUAUUAUAAGAAAUAAAGAAGGAUAUUACAAAAUGAUCAAAGGAUCAAUCCCAGAAGAUAUAACAAUUGUAAAUAUAUAAAUGCACCCAACAUAGGAUCAAUUCAAUAUAUAAGGAAAUUGCUAACAACCUUAAAAGGAGAAAUUGACAAUAACACAAUAAUUGAGGGGGCUUUAAUACCCCACUUACAGCAAUGAACAGAUCAUCCAGAUAGAAAAGCAACAAGGAAACACAGGCCCUAAAUGACUUGUUAGACCAGAUGGACUUAAUAGAUAUUUAUAGAACAUUCCAUCCAAAAGCAGCAAAAUACACAUUCUUCUCAAGUUCACAAGAAACAUUCUCUAGGACUGGUCACUUUCUGGGCCACAAAUCAAGCCUUGGUAAAUUUAAGAAAACUGAAAUCAUAUCAAGCAUCUUUUCUGACCACAGUGCUAUAUGACUAGAAAUCAACAAGAAAAAAACUGCAAUAAACACAAACAGGUGGAGACUAAACAACAUGCUAUUAAACAACCAAUGGAUCACUGAAGAAAUCAAAGAGGAAAUUUAAAAAUACCUAGAAGCAAAUGGCAGCAAAGACACAAUAGUCCAAAACCUAUGGGACCAGAGUUCACAUUGUAGUGCAGUGGAAAUGAAUCCAACUAGGAACCAUAAGGUUGUGGAUUUGAUCCCUGGUCUUUCUCAGUGGGUUAAGGAUCUGGCAUUGCCAUGAGCUGUGGUGGCUUUGGCAUGGAUCACAGAUGCAGCUUGGAUCUGGUGUUGCUGUGGCUAUGGCAUAGGCUGGCAGCUGUUGUUCCAAUUCGACCCCUAGACUGGGAAUCUCCAUAUGCCUCAGGUGCGGCCCUAAAAAAGCAAACAAAAAUAAAAACAAAACCUACGGGAUGCAGCAAAAGCAGUUCUAAGAGGGAAGUUUAUAGCAGUACAGGCCUACCUCAGGAAACAAGAAAAGGGUCAAAUAAACAACGUAACUUUACAUCUAAAACAAAUAGAGAAGAACAGACAAGACCUAAAGUUAGGAGAAGGAAAGAAAUAAUAAAAUCAGAGCAGAAAUAAAUGAAAUAGAAACAAAGAAAACCAUAGAAAAGUUAAAUGAAGCCAAAAGCUUGUUCUUUGAAAAGAUCAACAAAAUUGACAAACUGUUAAGACAGACUCAUCAAGAAAAAAGAGGACUCAAAUCAAUGAGAUUAGAGGAGUCCCACUGUGGCUCAGUGCAAACAAAUUUGACUAGUAUCCACGAGGAUGCAGGUUUGAUCCCUGGCCUCGCUCAGCGGGUUUAGGAUACAGCCUUGUUGGGGGCUGUGGUGUAGGUUGUAGAUGUGGCUUGGAUCUGGCAUUGCUGUGACUGUGGUAUAGGCCAGUGGCUACAGCUCUGAUUUGACUCUAGCUUUGGAACCUCCAUAUGUUGCAGGUACAGCCCUAAAAAGACAAAAAAAAAAAAAAAAAUUAAAAACUAAAAAAAGAAAUGAAAAAGGAGAAGUUACAAUAGACAUCACAGAAACACAAAGGAUCAUAAGAGACUACUACAGGCAACUCUAUGCCAAUAAAAUGGACAACCUAGAAGAAAUAGACAAAUUCUUAGAAAAGUACAAUCUUCAAAGAGUCAACCAAGAUGAAAUAGAAAAAAUGGAUGGACCAAUCAUAAGUACUGAAGUUGAAAUGGUGAUUUAAAAAUUUUCAACAAACAAAAUUCCAGGACCAGAUGGCUUCACAGGUGAAUUCUAUCAAACAUUUAGACAAGAGCUAACACCUAUCCUUAUGAAACUAUUCCAAAAAAUUACAGAGGAAGGGACACUCCCAAACUCAUUCUAUGAGGUCACCAUCACCCUGAUACCAAAACCAGACAAAGAUAACACAAAAAAAGAAAAUCGCUGGCCAAUAUCAUUGAUGAACAAAGAUGCAAAAAUCCUCAACAAAAUACUAGCAAACCAAUCUACCAAUACAUUAAAAGGAUUGUAGGAGUUCCUGUCAUGGCUCAGUGGUCAAAGAAUCUGACUAGGAACCAUGAGGUUGCAGGUUUGAUCCCUGGCCUUGCUCAGUGGGUUAAGGAUCCAGUGUUGCUGUGAGCUGCGGUGUAGGUCAGAGACACGGUUUGGAUCCUGUGUUGCUGUGGCUCUGGUGUAGGCUGACAGCCACAGCUCCAAUUAGACCCCUAGCCUGGGA
Molecule: long non-coding RNA, 4033 nt
Filed under: Sus scrofa (pig)
Lineage: Eukaryota; Metazoa; Chordata; Mammalia; Artiodactyla; Suidae
Description: lncRNA (ENSSSCG00040069523.1)
Source: RNAcentral